GACCAUAGAUUUAUCUAUGUUUCUUACGCAAUAUCAGGACUCUCAAUAUAAGUAAGUAAGCGUAGGUGAUCUUGAAACAAAGUCGAGAACAUUUAGAUUGAGCUCGUUCGUCAUGAGGGUCCUUGCCUUGCUGUCCGUUUUCCUUCUAAUCGCUGUCACAAAUGUUUGCCUUGCUGCCGUGAGUGGUAGGGGUCCCGGAGGCCCAGGUGGCGAGCCUCCAGUGUUUGACUGCACAGGUAAAAUUGGGUAUUUUGCCGACCUCUGGAAAAAUUGCGAAGUAUACUAUCAGUGCCUCGAGGAUGGAACUAAACUGACAUUCGGUUGUCCCAGUCAGCCUCAAACAUACUUUAACGAAGCAAUAACCGAGUGCGUUCAUACUUACACUUGUCCGGAACCCCAGCCAGUUUAGCAAUGUUAUGAAUUUGAUUUGAUUGUCCGAAUAUUGAAACAUAUUUCCAAAUUAUCGUGUAUUUUAUUUCAAAUUUGGGCAAUGGAUAUCAAAGUCUUAUACACCUUUUUUGACAGCUUCA
This is a long non-coding RNA of Daphnia pulex (common water flea), 530 nucleotides long. RefSeq lists it as uncharacterized. NCBI's taxonomy places the organism in Eukaryota, Metazoa, Arthropoda, Branchiopoda, Diplostraca, Daphniidae. The transcript has 3 exons. The record is from RefSeq and is a predicted model, not a curated record.